Non-coding RNA from Schistosoma rodhaini, 48 nucleotides. NCBI's taxonomy places the organism in Eukaryota, Metazoa, Platyhelminthes, Trematoda, Strigeidida, Schistosomatidae. The record is from Rfam.
AUCCAGUUGACGAGUUUCAAAUAGGACAAAACGUGCGUCAAACUAGAU